RNAcentral lists this ribosomal RNA (261 nucleotides) under uncultured prokaryote. RNAcentral describes it as "partial 16S ribosomal RNA". It matches the Rfam family "Bacterial small subunit ribosomal RNA", at positions 524 to 784 of the family's 1533-position model. The record is from RNAcentral.
UACGUAGGGUGCGAGCGUUAUCCGGAUUUAUUGGGUUUAAAGGGUGCGCAGGCGGAAGAUUAAGUCGGUGGUGAAAUUUUGCAGCUCAACUGUAAAAGUGCCAUUGAUACUGGUUUUCUUGAGUGUGGAUGAAGUAGGCGGAAUUUGUGGUGUAGCGGUGAAAUGCAUAGAUAUCACGAGGAACUCCGAUUGCGCAGGCAGCUUACUAAACUACUACUGACGCUCAGGCACGAAGGCGUGGGGAUCAAACAGGAUUAGAUA